GAUGAGGCAGAACUCAGCCUGCACUCGCCAUCAACGUCCCAGGGUGGGUCGAUCCUCAGCUGCGAUAGAUGGGCAUGUAAAGUAUUGGUUUACAACCCCGUCGAAUGUACCCGUAAUCGACAAUGCUCCUGAUGGGGUGACCUGUGAUGCUGGUAGAGAUAGCUGAAGGCUGUACGAUGGCAUACUGCUCGAUGGCUCAUCAACCUGAGCUCCAUAACCCGGCUGAUCAUCUCCAAAAACCCCAUCAUGUCCCUCAAUAUGUGGGCCAAGAAGUGCCUCAUAG
Molecule: long non-coding RNA, 283 nt
Filed under: Nicotiana benthamiana
Lineage: Eukaryota; Viridiplantae; Streptophyta; Magnoliopsida; Solanales; Solanaceae
Description: long non-coding RNA (NBEN_LNC024571)
Source: RNAcentral